GCUCCAGGCAUACCCAUCAAACCAAUGCUUGCAAAGAUUACUAAUGGGGUCCCUCAAGUGAUGAAGCUCUUUCAGAACAAAACCUUUACAUGUGAAUACAAAUAUGAUGGUCAGCGAGCUCAGAUUCAUAAACUGUCUGAUGGUUCAGUCCGUGUAUUUUCAAGGAAUGGGGAUGAGACAACAUCUAGAUUUCCGGAUUUGGUAAAU
RNAcentral lists this unclassified non-coding RNA (207 nucleotides) under Hevea brasiliensis (rubber tree). Lineage: Eukaryota; Viridiplantae; Streptophyta; Magnoliopsida; Malpighiales; Euphorbiaceae. The record is from RNAcentral.